AGGCCGUGCUUAGGCCUCUGUGGACACACUGCUGGGGACGGCGCCUGAGCUCUCAGGGGGACGAGGAACACCACCAUGCCCCGGGGCUUCACCUGGCUGCGCUAAACACUACUUCCCCAUCAACUACAAGAUCAGUGUGCCUUACGAGGGGGUGUUCAGAAUCGCCAAUGUCACCAGGCUGAGGGCCCAGGUGAGCGAGCGGGAGCUGCGGUAUCUGUGGGUCUUGGUGAGUCUCAGUGCCACUGAGUCGGUGCAGGACGUGCUGCUCGAGGGCCACCCAUCCUGGAAGUACCUGCAGGAGGUGCAGAUGCUGCUGCUGAAUGUCCAGCAGGGCCUCACGGUGAGUUGUGCGGAGGAGUGGCAGGUGGGGGUGUGUGUGUGCACACGUGUGUGCAUGUGUGUGAGGUGUGGCCAAAGGCUAGUGAGGGAAAGGGUGAAUACACGGAAAGAUGGGCACAAGCAGAGGGACGUGGGAGAAGUGGGGGAGGGGUGCAGGAAAAGAGGCCUGUGGAAGGAAGAGGCAGCCGUGGUGGUCAUGAGAGCCGGGCUCGGGGUGCAGGCGAUGCCUCUGAGAC
RNAcentral lists this small RNA (575 nucleotides) under Pan troglodytes (chimpanzee). RNAcentral describes it as "retained intron". Lineage: Eukaryota; Metazoa; Chordata; Mammalia; Primates; Hominidae. The record is from RNAcentral.